GAUCCUGGCUCAGGAUGAACGCUGGCGGCGUGCCUAACACAUGCAAGUCGAGCGAAGCGCUUUGUCUUAGAUUCUUCGGAUGAAGAGGUAUUGUGACUGAGCGGCGGACGGGUGAGUAACGCGUGGGUAACCUGCCUCAUACAGGGGGAUAACAGUUAGAAAUGACUGCUAAUACCGCAUAAGACCACAGCACCGCAUGGUGCGGGGGUAAAAAACUCCGGUGGUAUGAGAUGGACCCGCG
This 241-nucleotide ribosomal RNA is filed under the name uncultured bacterium. RNAcentral's name for it is "partial 16S ribosomal RNA". It matches the Rfam family "Bacterial small subunit ribosomal RNA", at positions 15 to 235 of the family's 1533-position model. The record is from RNAcentral.